This is an unclassified non-coding RNA of Pan troglodytes (chimpanzee), 284 nucleotides long. It matches the Rfam family "Metazoan signal recognition particle RNA". From Rfam's summary of the family: The signal recognition particle (SRP) is a universally conserved ribonucleoprotein. It is involved in the co-translational targeting of proteins to membranes. The record is from Ensembl. NCBI's taxonomy places the organism in Eukaryota, Metazoa, Chordata, Mammalia, Primates, Hominidae.
GCUGGGCCUGGUGGCUCAUGCCUGUAAUUCCAGCUACUUGGGAAGCGGAGGCAGGAGUAUCUCUUGAGGCCAGGAGUUCGAGAACAGCCUGGGCAAUAUAGUGAGAUCCCCAUCUCUUAAAAAAAAAAUAAUAAAUUAGCUGGGUGUGUUGGUGCAUGCCUAUAGUUCCAGCUACUCAGGAGCAUGAGGCAGAAGAAUCACUUGAGGCCAGGAGUUUGAGGCCCAUGGGGCUAUGAUUGCACCACUGUACUCCAGCCUGGGCAACAAAAUGAUAUCUUGUCUCU